This 506-nucleotide ribosomal RNA is filed under the name uncultured bacterium. RNAcentral's name for it is "partial 16S ribosomal RNA". It matches the Rfam family "Bacterial small subunit ribosomal RNA", at positions 28 to 507 of the family's 1533-position model. The record is from RNAcentral.
GACGAACGCUGGCGGCGUGCUUAACACAUGCAAGUCGAACGGUGAAGGGACUGGUUUUGCUGGUCCUGGAUGAGUGGCGAACGGGUGAGUAACACGUGAGUAACCUGCCCCCUUCUUCUGGAUAACCGCAUGAAAGUGUGGCUAAUACGGGAUAUUCUGGGUCUGUCGCAUGGUGGGCCUGGGAAAGAUUGCGCCUUUUUUGGUGUUUUUGUGGGGGGUUGGGCUCGCGGCCUAUCAGCUUGUUGGUGGGGUGUUGGCCUACCAAGGCGGUGACGGGUAGCCGGCCUGAGAGGGUGGACGGUCACACUGGGACUGAGACACGGCCCAGACUCCUACGGGAGGCAGCAGUGGGGAAUAUUGCACAAUGGGCGCAAGCCUGAUGCAGCGACGCCGCGUGAGGGAUGGAGGCCUUCGGGUUGUGAACCUCUUUCGCCAGUGAAGCAGGCCUGCCUCUUUUUGUGGGUGGGUUGACGGUAGCUGGAUAAGAAGCGCCGGCUAACUACGUG